Molecule: transfer RNA, 68 nt
Filed under: Marmota monax (woodchuck)
Lineage: Eukaryota; Metazoa; Chordata; Mammalia; Rodentia; Sciuridae
Description: tRNA.Ala
Rfam family: tRNA (bases 3-63)
About the family: Transfer RNA (tRNA) molecules are approximately 80 nucleotides in length. Their secondary structure includes four short double-helical elements and three loops (D, anti-codon, and T loops).
Source: RNAcentral
GUUGUGGCUCAGUGAUAGAGUGCUUGCCUAGCAUGCAUGAGGCACUGGGUUCAAUUCUCAGCACCACA